This 220-nucleotide long non-coding RNA is filed under the name Musa acuminata (dwarf banana). Its description in RNAcentral is "long non-coding RNA (MACU_LNC011659)". Lineage: Eukaryota; Viridiplantae; Streptophyta; Magnoliopsida; Zingiberales; Musaceae. The record is from RNAcentral.
UGUGCCGCACAGGGUGUCCGACGUGGGGGUGCAUUACGUCAAAUCCGAGGUGUUAUGUCAAAUCAGUUUUUUACCCCUAUCAUAUGCCCCACCCGAAAGGAGCUAUGCGUCGGUUUUGCAGGUAGGGAGUCCGAUGCAUGGCUUUCUGCUUCAAGCGGGCUGUUCAGACGGGUCUGAGGAGCGCGCCGCAAACGGGUCGGUCGCGUGAAUGCAUCUCGAG